Molecule: ribosomal RNA, 509 nt
Filed under: uncultured bacterium
Lineage: Bacteria
Description: partial 16S ribosomal RNA
Rfam family: Bacterial small subunit ribosomal RNA
Source: RNAcentral
GACGAACGCUGGCGGCGUGCUUAACACAUGCAAGUCGAACGAAGAGCGAUGGAAGCUUGCUUCUAUCAAUCUUAGUGGCGAACGGGUGAGUAACGCGUAAUCAACCUGCCCUUCAGAGGGGGACAACAGUUGGAAACGACUGCUAAUACCGCAUACGAUCUGACCUCGGCAUCGAGGAUAGAUGAAAGGUGGCCUCUACAUGUAAGCUAUCACUGAAGGAGGGGAUUGCGUCUGAUUAGCUAGUUGGAGGGGUAACGGCCCACCAAGGCGAUGAUCAGUAGCCGGUCGGAGAGGAUGAACGGCCACAUUGGGACUGAGACACGGCCCAGACUCCUACGGGAGGCAGCAGUGGGGAAUCUUCCGCAAUGGACGAAAGUCUGACGGAGCAACGCCGCGUGAGUGAUGACGGCCUUCGGGUUGUAAAGCUCUGUUAAUCGGGACGAAAGGCCUUUUUGCGAAUAGUGAGAAGGAUUGACGGUACCGGAAUAGAAAGCCACGGCUAACUACGU